RNAcentral lists this ribosomal RNA (451 nucleotides) under uncultured bacterium. Its description in RNAcentral is "partial 16S ribosomal RNA". It matches the Rfam family "Bacterial small subunit ribosomal RNA", at positions 28 to 523 of the family's 1533-position model. The record is from RNAcentral.
GAUGAACGCUGGCGGCGUGCCUAAUACAUGCAAGUCGAACGAAGCCUUCGGGCUUAGUGGCGGACGGGUGAGUAACACGUUGGUACCUGCCUCGAAGUGGGGAAUAACUGGCCGAAAGGUCGGCUAAUACCGCAUGUGAUCGCAAGAUCAAAGUCGUAAGACGCUUCGAGAGGGGCCUGCGUCCCAUUAGCUAGUUGGUAGGGUAAUGGCCUACCAAGGCGACGAUGGGUAGCUGGAUCGAGAGGUUGACCAGCCACACUGGGACUGAGAUACGGCCCAGACUCCUACGGGAGGCAGCAGUAAGGAAUCUUCCACAAUGGACGAAAGUCUGAUGGAGCAACGCCGCGUGCAGGAUGACGGCCUUCGGGUUGUAAACUGCUUUUAUAUGGGAAGAUUAUGACGGUACCAUAUGAAUAAGGACCGGCUAACUACGUGCCAGCCGCCGCCGUAA